This 465-nucleotide ribosomal RNA is filed under the name uncultured bacterium. RNAcentral's name for it is "partial 16S ribosomal RNA". It matches the Rfam family "Bacterial small subunit ribosomal RNA", at positions 338 to 795 of the family's 1533-position model. The record is from RNAcentral.
CCUACGGGAGGCUGCAGUAGGGAAUUUUCGUCAAUGGGCGCAAGCCUGAACGAGCGAUGCCGCGUGAGUGAAGAAGGCCUUCGGGUCGUAAAGCUCUGUUGCGGGGGAAAAAAGGCAGCAUCAGGAAAUGGGUGCUGACUGAUGGUGCCCCGCCCGAAAGUCACGGCUAACUACGUGCCAGCAGCCGCGGUAAUACGUAGGUGGCGAGCGUUAUCCGGAAGGAUUGGGCGUAAGGGGUGCGCCGGCGGUCCUGCAAGUCUGGAGUGAAACGCAUGAGCUCAACUCAUGCAUGGCUUUGGAAACUGGAGGACUGGAGAGCAGGAGAGGGCGGUGGAACUCCAUGUGUAGCGGUAAAAUGCGUAGAUAUAUGGAAGAACACCAGUGGCGAAGGCGGCCGCCUGGCCUGUUGCUGACGCUGAGGCACGAAAGCGUGGGGAGCAAAUAGGAUUAGAUACCCGAGUAGUC